GACGAACGCUGGCGGCGUGCCUAAUACAUGCAAGUCGAGCGAAUGACGAGAAGCUUGCUUCUCUGAUUUAGCGGCGGACGGGUGAGUAACACGUGGGCAACCUGCCCUACAGAUUGGGAUAACUCAGGGAAACCUGGGCUAAUACCGGAUAAUCCUUCGAAUCACAUGUUUUGAAGUUGAAAGGCGCUUCGGCGUCACUGUAGGCUGGGCCCGCGGUGCAUUAGCUAGUUGGUGGGGUAACGGCCUACCAAGGCAACGAUGCAUAGCCGACCUGAGAGAGUGCGCAGCCACAUUGGGAGUGAGACACGGCCCAAACUCCUACGGGAGGCAGCAGUAGGGAAUCUUCCACAAUGGACGAAAGUCUGAUGGAGCAACGCCGCGUGAGUGAUGAAGGUUUUCGGAUCGUAAAACUCUGUUGUAAGGGAAGAACAGGUACGUUAGGAAAUGAACGUACCUUGACGGUACCUUAUUAGAAAGCCACGGCUAACUACGUGCAAGCCGCCGCCGUAA
This 510-nucleotide ribosomal RNA is filed under the name uncultured bacterium. RNAcentral's name for it is "partial 16S ribosomal RNA". It matches the Rfam family "Bacterial small subunit ribosomal RNA", at positions 28 to 523 of the family's 1533-position model. The record is from RNAcentral.